CCCUUAGAUGUUCUGGGCCGCACGCGCGCUACACUGAUGCAUUCAACGAGUCUAAAACCUGCUCUGAUAGGGGUGGGUAAUCUUUUGAAUGUGCAUCGUGAUUGGGAUAGAUGAUUGAAAUUUUUCAUCUUCAACGAGGAAUGCCUAGUAAACGCAAGUCAUCAGCUUGCAUUGAUUACGUCCCUGCCCUUUGCACACACCGCCCGUCGCUCCUACCGAUUGAAUGAUCCGAUGAAUAUCAUGGAUUGAGGAUGCAAGUAGGUUCACCUAUCUUCAUCUUCGAGAAGUGAAGUAAAUCUUAUCAUUUAGAGGAAGGAGAAGUCGUAACA
This 329-nucleotide ribosomal RNA is filed under the name uncultured eukaryote. RNAcentral describes it as "partial 18S ribosomal RNA". It matches the Rfam family "Eukaryotic small subunit ribosomal RNA", at positions 1470 to 1796 of the family's 1831-position model. The record is from RNAcentral.